UCUGGCCCAGAUCGUUUACCGUGAAAAAAUUAGAGUGUUCAAAGCGGGCAGAUAUUUUUCCUGCCACCGAAUACAUUAGCAUGGGAUAAUGGAAUAGGACCCUGACCUCCUAUUUUCAGUUGGUUUUGUUUACAGCGAGGUUAUAUCAGGGUAAUGAUUAAUAGGGAUAGUUGGGGGCAUUAAUAUUUAAUUGUCAGAGGUGAAAUUCUUGGAUUUAUGAAAGAUUAACUUCUGCGAAAGCGUUUGCCAAGGAUGUUUUCAUUAAUCAAGAACGAAAGUUAGGGGAUCGAAGACGAUCAGAUACCGUCGUAGUCUUAACCAUAAACGAUGCCGACCAGCGAUUAGGAGACGUUGAAUACAAAACACCGCUGUUAAUCCUUCGGGGAAAUWYSUUC
This 395-nucleotide ribosomal RNA is filed under the name Acanthamoeba sp. RNAcentral describes it as "SSU rRNA". It matches the Rfam family "Eukaryotic small subunit ribosomal RNA", at positions 748 to 1113 of the family's 1831-position model. The record is from RNAcentral. Lineage: Eukaryota; Discosea; Longamoebia; Acanthamoebidae.